Molecule: long non-coding RNA, 305 nt
Filed under: Ricinus communis (castor bean)
Lineage: Eukaryota; Viridiplantae; Streptophyta; Magnoliopsida; Malpighiales; Euphorbiaceae
Description: long non-coding RNA (RCOM_LNC002561)
Source: RNAcentral
UUUUACAUAUAUAAUAUCACACUCAAAUUAACAGACAUGAUUUGUAUCCGUUUAAAUUCUUGCAUCUAAUCUCACUAAGAUAUUGACAGUCUCAAUCUCUAUAUGUUUCAGUUUUUUAAAUCCUGAUCUAGAUCAACUAUAUACUUUCUUGGAGAAUCUUGCUUUGAUCUCUCUCUCUCUCUCUCUCUCUCUCUAUAUAUAUAUAUAUAUAUAUAUAUGAAGAACACCAUGUUUCUGAAAGCUUUCUCACCCCUUCUUCUUCUUCUUCUCAUGAGCUUGAUUGUUGAUUCUUAUGUUCAGCUUGU